GUAAAUUGGUAGCAUUCCUGUAGAGUCUUUUUCCUUUUUGUUAUCUGUUUAGCAGAAAUUUAGGAUUGCUUUGGAGUAUGGAUGAAUUAUUUUCUAGUUUGUAUUAGCUUAAGAUAAUUAUUGCUGUGUUCGGGCUAAACACCUUGGAAAUUGUCAGCAUGAUUUCUCAUUUAUAUCUUCUCUGAGAUGUUUAUAUCUCUUCUUUCAAUCAGCCGGAUCUGGAAUGAGACAUGGCUGUCAAGUUUCUUUUACAAGCCGUGCAAUUAUGAGCUGUUU
RNAcentral lists this unclassified non-coding RNA (276 nucleotides) under Hevea brasiliensis (rubber tree). Lineage: Eukaryota; Viridiplantae; Streptophyta; Magnoliopsida; Malpighiales; Euphorbiaceae. The record is from RNAcentral.